Molecule: long non-coding RNA, 1083 nt
Organism: Helianthus annuus (common sunflower)
Lineage: Eukaryota; Viridiplantae; Streptophyta; Magnoliopsida; Asterales; Asteraceae
Exons: 3
Source: RefSeq, a predicted model, not a curated record
GACAUCUUCACAGGAGCAAAAAGGGGUUCUUCCAAGUGAACCCUAAACUCACAAAUUGGAUCAAAAUCAAGGGAAAUCAAGCCAAGAUUUUGGGGCUUUAACUAAAUUCGUGAUCACCAAGCUUAGGAGAUCACAAGUUGACUCUAAACAAGCUAGGUGGGAGCUUGGAAAGGAACGGGUCAAACGGAUCAUGGAUGCGAAGAAUGUUUGCGCGGACGCGAGGGUAAAACGACUUAUGGAAUUUACGUGGCUAUGAAUCAGCAAAUUAUUAAGGCAAGGUAUUAAAACGGGUCAAUACUUUGACCCGGGCCAGGUACGCGUAAAUUUGGUGGAAGAUAUGUGAAUACCUUAAUGUAGAAAAAUGACAUGUGAAAGUAGAGAGUGGGAUUUAAACUUAAAUGAUUAAAUCCUCUCUAACGGGUCAAAAUGAAUUACGCGCGUAACUUGGGUGUUCGCCGCGUAAUUCACAAAACUUAUGAAUCCAAGAUAGGUAUUUUGAGUUAAAUACCUUGGUCUAAGAAUUUUGAUUAACUAGAAACAAGUUUCGAGGUCUUAAAUACAAACGGGAGAUCAAACGGAUACGCGUAUUGAAAGAUACGAAAGUUUUCGUGUCAAAAACGGUAAAAUGGGAAGGGCUGAUACAGGGGCCACCGUAACUUACGGUGACCACCGUAAGUUACGGUGGGGCUGAAAUCUUUACGGUAGUUACCCACUGAGUUACGGUAGGGGAACUUUAAUACAGGGGCCACCGUAACUUACGGUGCCCACCGUAAGUUACGGUGGAGGCCAGUUUGGAAUCCUUGUCUUUGGAUCAAGAGAUUAACAUUGGGAUUUUCCUUCCAUUAUCAUAAUCUUGUUUUGUACCGUCAUUUAAACUAUCAAUACUGACUUUUAAGUUGGUUUUGAUCACAGGUGAAUGUCGAGAGUCCCGGAUGAAGAUCAAGUGUCGAGCAAGAACCGAACACAUGUUAAACGAAGCUUCCGCAAUGUUGUUUCGUCGUUAUUCUAAAACGAUGAAUUAAAUUACACUAUGUUGUUUGCUUACAAAUUCAGAAAAGUUUUAAUAAACCCGUAUUUUAGCAU